Molecule: long non-coding RNA, 1525 nt
Filed under: Eptatretus burgeri (inshore hagfish)
Lineage: Eukaryota; Metazoa; Chordata; Myxini; Myxiniformes; Myxinidae
Description: lncRNA (ENSEBUG00000017174.1)
Source: RNAcentral
CCUGUGGUCCUGUAGGUGAUGUGAAUGAAAAGUCUGAAGUUUCACUUCCCUUUGACUGUUCUGAUCACGGAUCGCCGCCUUUGGAGAGGAGUCAUGGAUUUCUCGAUGGCAUUCAAGAUCCACUUUCUCGGAUUUUUCUGUUUCUUGGCGAUUUUCUCUGUUCUUUCCGUGUUCCGACGAAACUUCACCGCUCAAGUCCCUUUGGAGUACUUUGUUUAUGGAAAAACCUUUGGUGCGGAGCAGAUGUUCCUAAGUGAUCUUCGCAAGUGUUCGGUGAAUAUGUUGCCUCGGCCUGUACAGGAGGAAAGUGUUUCUUCUCUGCCACUCUUGGUCUUCUGUGUGAACGCGACACGAGUUGGAACCGACACCACAGCUGCACUCGCAAAGUGUGAGAUGGUUUGUGGAAGAAGAUCGGUCAUCAUGGUGGUGAUGAAUCAUGUUCCGAGUUGUGCCACGUACAAGAACCCUCAUAGCUACGCAAAUGUCCAACAACAGAACGUAUUGGCCACAUAUGACUGUUUCUUCUCUGAAAGGAAAGGAUUGCACAGGUGUGAAGAGAACAACAAGGUGGUGAGCCAAGUGAGGGAUUUAAUCAAAGGGAGAACGUCCCGCUUGGCUUCAGCACUGCAGCACGUCUGCUCCCCAUGUGCAGAAUCACAUGGUUCACGCCACAGCCGCAUAACCUCCACAGCACCACGCUUCAUCGGCCCAGGUGCAAGUUUGAGUUUGAGUUCAGAUCGCGUGCCUGUGAAACCUUCGCACCGCACACACAUUAACAAACGAGGUCCCGCCCAGUCAGCUGAGAGGGUGUGGCCUGAAGAAGUGAGCGCCGGAAAGGCGAAGGUGGGACUGAGAGGUGGUGCGAUCGGCAGUAAGAGGAACUGCCUGAGCCACGAUACGGGCGAUCGGCAGUAAGAGUGACUGCCUGCUUUGUCGAGUCUGCCUUCUGCUGGAUGAGAGGCUGCUGGAGUCGAGUCUGGAGUCGGCUUUGAGGCGAGCGAGCGCCGGAUCGGCAGUAAGAGGAACUGCCUGAGCCACGAGAAGCGGCGCGCCCAAAAAGAAAGGAGAAGUGAAACUGCAGUCGGCUGAGAGGCGACAGGGAGACUGAGACUGGCCGAGUCUGCCAUUUGGCAGUGGGAGAGGCCGCCUGCACGUCGGGUCGGGCGAUCGACUUUGUGGAGGAGUGGUUUUGGCCGGCGGUGCCUCCUCGGCCACAGACCCAACCUGCAGAGCCCAACACCUCGAUUUGGCCUGAUCUGUUGAACAGGCCAGGCCUGGACUUGUAUGCUGGACCUUGUGAAAAGCCAGCUGGAGCAUACCACAGAUCUUUCGUCUUUGGCCGUCGACCUUACGCGGGGUCUGAACGCGCCGUGGCUGCGUGCGUGAGGGCUGCGACAAAUGGACACGCCGCCAUUUUGCCACGCGGCGUGUUUGAGCUUGGGUGCUCGAAUCCGUGGACAUCGGCUUGUCACGAGCCACAUUCCUGCUUUUCACACUUUUCCUCUCGUCUAUGAAGCAUCACCAA